UACGUAGGGUGCGAGCGUUGUCCGGAAUUAUUGGGCGUAAAGAGCUCGUAGGCGGUGUGUCACGUCGAUCGUGAAAACUUGGGGCUUAACCCUGAGCUUGCGGUCGAUACGGGCAUCACUAGAGUUCGGCAGGGGAGACUGGAAUUCCUGGUGUAGCGGUGAAAUGCGCAGAUAUCAGGAGGAACACCGGUGGCGAAGGCGGGUCUCUGGGCCGAUACUGACGCUGAGGAGCGAAAGCAUGGGUAGCGAACAGG
RNAcentral lists this ribosomal RNA (254 nucleotides) under uncultured bacterium. RNAcentral's name for it is "partial 16S ribosomal RNA". It matches the Rfam family "Bacterial small subunit ribosomal RNA", at positions 524 to 776 of the family's 1533-position model. The record is from RNAcentral.